UACGUAGGGACCAAGCGUUGUUCGGAUUUACUGGGCGUAAAGGGCGCGUAGGCGGCGUGGUAAGUCACUUGUGAAAUCUCUGAGCUUGACUCAGAACGGUCAAGUGAUACUGCUGUGCUAGAGUGCAGAAGGGGCAAUCGGAAUUCUUGGUGUAGCGGUGAAAUGCGUAGAUAUCAAGAGGAACACCUGAGGUGAAGACGGGUUGCUGGGCUGACACUGACGCUGAGGCGCGAAAGCCAGGGGAGCAAACGGG
RNAcentral lists this ribosomal RNA (253 nucleotides) under uncultured bacterium. RNAcentral describes it as "partial 16S ribosomal RNA". It matches the Rfam family "Bacterial small subunit ribosomal RNA", at positions 524 to 776 of the family's 1533-position model. The record is from RNAcentral.